This 253-nucleotide ribosomal RNA is filed under the name uncultured bacterium. Its description in RNAcentral is "partial 16S ribosomal RNA". It matches the Rfam family "Bacterial small subunit ribosomal RNA", at positions 524 to 776 of the family's 1533-position model. The record is from RNAcentral.
UACAGAGGUGGCAAGCGUUGUUCGGAAUUACUGGGCGUAAAGGGCGCGUAGGCGGUUCGUUAAGUCCUGUGUGAAAGCCCCCGGCUCAACUGGGGAGGGUCAUUCGAUACUGAUCGACUUGAAGGCAGGAGAGAGAAGUGGAAUUCCCGGUGUAGUGGUGAAAUGCGUAGAUAUCGGGAGGAACACCAGUGGCGAAGGCGACUUCUUGGCCUGUUCUUGACGCUGAGGCGCGAAAGCUGGGGGAGCAAACGGG